GAAAUGCGAUAAGUAGUGUGAAUUGCAGAUUUCAGUGAAUCAUCGAAUCUUUGAACGCACAUUGCGCCCCUCGGUAUUCCGUGGGGCAUGCCUGUUCGAGCGUCAUCUACACCCUCAAGCUCUGCUUGGUGUUGGGCGUCUGUCCCGCCUCCGCGCGCGGACUCGCCCCAAAUGCAUUGGCAGCGGUUCUUUGCCCCCCUCUUUGCGCAGCACAUUGCCAUUCGAGGCGGCGGCGGCCCGCGUCCAACAAGCUCAACCCCCCCGUCUUUGACCUCGGAUCAGGUAGGGAUACCCGCUGAACUUAAGC
Molecule: unclassified non-coding RNA, 307 nt
Filed under: plant metagenome
Description: partial contains 5.8S ribosomal RNA, internal transcribed spacer 2, and large subunit ribosomal RNA
Rfam family: 5.8S ribosomal RNA (bases 1-105)
Source: RNAcentral